UACGAAGGGGGCUAGCGUUGCUCGGAAUUACUGGGCGUAAAGGGCGCGUAGGCGGCACUGUUAGUCAGGCGUGAAAGUCCUGGGCUCAACCUGGGAACUGCGCUUGAUACGGCAGAGCUAGAGGAUGGAAGAGGCUCGCAGAAUUCCCAGUGUAGAGGUGAAAUUCGUAGAUAUUGGGAAGAACACCGGUGGCGAAGGCGGCGAGCUGGUCCAUUACUGACGCUGAGGCGCGACAGCGUGGGGAGCAAACAGG
This 253-nucleotide ribosomal RNA is filed under the name uncultured bacterium. Its description in RNAcentral is "partial 16S ribosomal RNA". It matches the Rfam family "Bacterial small subunit ribosomal RNA", at positions 524 to 776 of the family's 1533-position model. The record is from RNAcentral.